GACGAACGCUGGCGGCGUGCCUAAUACAUGCAAGUUGAGCGCUGAAGGUUGGUACUUGUACCAACUGGAUGAGCAGCGAACGGGUGAGUAACGCGUGGAGAAUCUGCCUUUGAGCGGGGGACAACAUUUGGAAACGAAUGCUAAUACCGCAUAAAAACUUUAAACACAAGUUUUAAGUUUGAAAGAUGCAAUUGCAUCACUCAAAGAUGAUCCCGCGUUGUAUUAGCUAGUUGGUGAGGUAAAGGCUCACCAAGGCGAUGAUACAUAGCCGACCUGAGAGGGUGGUCGGCCACAUUGGGACUGAGACACGGCCCAAACUCCUACGGGAGGCAGCAGUAGGGAAUCUUCGGCAAUGGACGAAAGUCUGACCGAGAAACGCCGCGUGAGUGAAGAAGGUUUUCGGAUCGUAAAACUCUGUUGGUAGAGAAGAAAGUUGGUGAGCGUGGAAAGCUCAUCAAGUGACGGUAACUACGCAGAAAGGGACGGCUGACUACGUG
This 497-nucleotide ribosomal RNA is filed under the name uncultured bacterium. Its description in RNAcentral is "partial 16S ribosomal RNA". It matches the Rfam family "Bacterial small subunit ribosomal RNA", at positions 28 to 507 of the family's 1533-position model. The record is from RNAcentral.